ACGCUUGGAGUCAGUCGCGUCGGCCAAGACUCAGCCUUGCCUCGGCUUGGUGUACUUCUUGGCCGACGGGCCAGCAUCGAUUUCGUCCCUUAGAUAAUGGCGAGGGAAAGGUGGCACCUUUGCAGGUGUGUUAUAGUCUCUUGUCGCAUGUGAGGGGUGGGAUUGAGGAACUCAGCACGCACCUUUUGGUGUCGGGGCUUCGGCCCACGUUACGUGCUUAGGAUGUUGGCGUAAUGGCUCUAAACGACCCGUCUUGAAACACGGACCAAGGAGUC
Molecule: ribosomal RNA, 275 nt
Filed under: Lactifluus bertillonii
Lineage: Eukaryota; Fungi; Basidiomycota; Agaricomycetes; Russulales; Russulaceae
Description: partial large subunit ribosomal RNA
Source: RNAcentral